This 484-nucleotide ribosomal RNA is filed under the name uncultured bacterium. Its description in RNAcentral is "bacterial SSU rRNA". It matches the Rfam family "Bacterial small subunit ribosomal RNA", at positions 28 to 521 of the family's 1533-position model. The record is from RNAcentral.
GAUGAACGCUAGCGAUAGGCCUAACACAUGCAAGUCGAGGGGCAUCACAUGAAGUAGCAAUACGGAUGGUGGCGACCGGCGCACGGGUGAGUAACACGUAUGCAACCUGCCUUCAACAAGGGGAUAACCCGUUGAAAGACGGACUAAUACCCUAUAACACAGGGGUCCCGCAUGGGAAUAUUUGUUAAAGGACAACCGGUUGAAGAUGGGCAUGCGUUCCAUUAGCUAGUUGGCGGGGUAACGGCCUACCAAGCCGACGAUCCGUAGCUGGUCUGAGAGGAUGAUCAGCCACACUGGGACUGAGACACGGCCCAGACUCCUACGGGAGGCAGCAGUGGGGAAUAUUGGACAAUGGGCGCAAGCCUGAUCCAGCAAUGCCGCGUGAGUGAUGAAGGCCUUAGGGUUGUAAAGCUCUUUCGCACGCGACGAUGAUGACGGUAGCGUGAGAAGAAGCCCCGGCUAACUUCGUGCCAGCAGCCGCGGU